GAAACAUUUGAAGUGACUUAGUGGCGGACGGGUGAGUAACGCGUGGGUAACCUGCCCUGUACUGGGGGACAACAGUUGGAAACGGCUGCUAAUACCGCAUAAGCGCACAGCAUCGCAUGGUGCAGUGUGAAAAACUCCGGUGGUACAGGAUGGACCCGCGUCUGAUUAGCUAGUUGGUGGGGUAACGGCCUACCAAGGCGACGAUCAGUAGCCGGCCUGAGAGGGUGAACGGCCACAUUGGGACUGAGACACGGCCCAGACUCCUACGGGAGGCAGCAGUGGGGAAUAUUGCACAAUGGGCGCAAGCCUGAUGCAGCGACGCCGCGUGAGUGAUGAAGUAUUUCGGUAUGUAAAGCUCUAUCAGCAGGGAAGAAAAUGACGGUACCUGACUAAGAAGCACCGGCUAAAUACGUGCCAGCAGCCGCGGUAAUACGUAUGGUGCAAGCGUUAUCCGGAUUUACUGGGUGUAAAGGGAGCGUAGGCGGCAUGGCAAGUCAGAUGUGAAAGCCCGGGGCCCAACCCCGGAACUGCAUUUGAAACUGUCAGGCUAGAGUACCGGAGAGGUAAGCGGAAUUCCUAGUGUAGCGGUGAAAUGCGUAGAUAUUAGGAGGAACACCAGUGGCGAAGGCGGCUUACUGGACGGUAACUGACGCUGAGCUCGAAAAGCGUGGGGAGCAAAACAGGAUUAGAUACCCUGGU
Molecule: ribosomal RNA, 699 nt
Filed under: uncultured bacterium
Lineage: Bacteria
Description: bacterial SSU rRNA
Rfam family: Bacterial small subunit ribosomal RNA
Source: RNAcentral